GACGAACGCUGGCGGCGUGCUUAACACAUGCAAGUCGAACGGAAAGGCCCUGCUUUUGUGGGGUGCUCGAGUGGCGAACGGGUGAGUAACACGUGAGUAACCUGCCCUUGACUUUGGGAUAACUUCAGGAAACUGGGGCUAAUACCGGAUAGGAGCUCCUGCUGCAUGGUGGGGGUUGGAAAGUUUCGGCGGUUGGGGAUGGACUCGCGGCUUAUCAGCUUGUUGGUGGGGUAGUGGCUUACCAAGGCUUUGGCGGGUAGCCGGCCUGAGAGGGUGACCGGCCACAUUGGGACUGAGAGACGGCCCAGACUCCUACGGGAGGCAGCAGUGGGGAAUAUUGCACAAUGGGCGGAAGCCUGAUGCAGCAACGCCGCGUGCGGGAUGACGGCCUUCGGGUUGUAAACCGCUUUCGCCUGUGACGAAGCGUGAGUGACGGUAAUGGGUAAAGAAGCACCGGCUAACUACGUG
RNAcentral lists this ribosomal RNA (468 nucleotides) under uncultured bacterium. RNAcentral describes it as "partial 16S ribosomal RNA". It matches the Rfam family "Bacterial small subunit ribosomal RNA", at positions 28 to 507 of the family's 1533-position model. The record is from RNAcentral.